Pelobates cultripes (western spadefoot toad) is the source of this 770-nucleotide non-coding RNA. The record is from the annotation of a GenBank genome assembly. NCBI's taxonomy places the organism in Eukaryota, Metazoa, Chordata, Amphibia, Anura, Pelobatidae.
GGGAAAAAAACACUUCGCCCCCACACGGACAGAUGUUUACACAUGCUACAGGGGGGUUGUGUGGGAACGCUUUUUCCUUUAAGGGUGGAAGCGGUGCAUGGUUUGUCAAUUUUUUCAUCCUUCAGUGUGAGUUGAGGGGGAAAAUGUACCCUAUCUAUUAAUACCAACUGCAGUGAACUGUAACAUUGACUUGUGCACAAACUGUACUGCAAUUUGCAAAGUAGUAGCACACUGCAAAUUAGAUGUGUCUCAGAAAUUUAAAAAAAAUCUUAUCAAAAUAAUUUGAUCUAAAUCAGUGAAUCAAAGUUGGUGUAAGUGAUAGUGGCUCGGCACAGUAGUAACCUAACCACUUUACUAGUCUUAAUGACACCUGCCAUCGUCCAUUAGAAGCCGGUGUAAAUUACUACAUGGCUCCAUUGCCAGAACUUCAUAUCACAAACGGAUUUGCCAUGUGUCAUUUUGGAGUUACAGAAUUUGAAUGAGUAAUCAAUUGCAAAACAUUCAGAUGAAUCAGUAUUCAUUUGAAACCAAACAGACAAGCCUAUUAAAUUCUACAGCAUCAGAAGCUCUUAGAAUAUUUCUAUAUUUGUUACUAGUUAUAGUGUUGAUUUUUUUUUUUUACAAUUAUUUAGCAAUAAAAAUAAAAGUGCAGCUGCUGACUAUUUCCGUGGUAAUCCACAGCAACGCUCUGACAGACAGAUUUGCAAGAGAGUGGACCCGGUGGAGUAACGGACACACACUUAUAGCGAUACUUGGUAUAUACAUAUAUA